CAGCCGCCGCGGUAAUACGAAGGGUGCAAGCGUUAAUCGGAAUUACUGGGCGUAAAGCGUGCGUAGGCGGUGAGUUAAGUCUGCUGUGAAAUCCCCGGGCUCAACCUGGGAAUGGCAGUGGAUACUGGCUCGCUAGAGUGUGUCAGAGGAUGGUGGAAUUCCCGGUGUAGCGGUGAAGUGCGUAGAGAUCGGGAGGAACAUCAGUGGCGAAGGCGGCCAUUUGGGACAACACUGACGCUGAGGCACGAAAGCGUGGGGAGCAAACAGGAUUAGAUACCCCUGUAGUCCCUGUCUCUUAUAC
This 301-nucleotide ribosomal RNA is filed under the name uncultured bacterium. Its description in RNAcentral is "partial 16S ribosomal RNA". It matches the Rfam family "Bacterial small subunit ribosomal RNA", at positions 509 to 807 of the family's 1533-position model. The record is from RNAcentral.